GUAGGUGGCAAGCGUUGUCCGGAAUUAUGGGCGUAAAGCGCGCGCAGGCGGGUCCUUUAAGUCUGAUGUGAAAGCCCACGGGCUCAACCGUGGAGGGUCAUUGGAAACUGAGGGACUUGAGUACAGAAGAGGAAAGCGGAAUUCCACGUGUAGCGGUGAAAUGCGUAGAGAUGUGGAGGAACACCAGUGGCGAAGGCGGCUUUCUGGUCUGUAACUGACGCUGAGGCGCGAAAGCGUGGGGAGCAAACAGGAUUAGAUACCCUGGUAGUCCACGCCGUAAACGAUGAGUGCUAAGUGUUAGGGGGUUUCCGCCCCUUAGUGCUGCAGCUAACGCAUUAAGCACUCCGCCUGGGGAGUACGACCGCAAGGUUG
RNAcentral lists this ribosomal RNA (372 nucleotides) under uncultured organism. RNAcentral's name for it is "partial 16S ribosomal RNA". It matches the Rfam family "Bacterial small subunit ribosomal RNA", at positions 527 to 896 of the family's 1533-position model. The record is from RNAcentral.